Molecule: non-coding RNA, 267 nt
Organism: Paramuricea clavata
Lineage: Eukaryota; Metazoa; Cnidaria; Anthozoa; Malacalcyonacea; Plexauridae
Source: the annotation of a GenBank genome assembly
GCGCCUUUCACGGCUAAUUGCUCUCUUGGGUUCCAUUCUCGCUAGGGACUCAUGUCAAAAGAGUCUGUCAACGCUCUGCCAAGAGUCGUGGGAAGCGCCCUGGUCGUGGAUUUGGUCCGGGCACUCCGGCUUCCUCUCACACUGAUAGUUGACAGAAUGGGUCAGGAUAAACGUAGUUAGGAAAGGAAAGUAAAGGCCCAUUUACACUUGCAAUUUUUGCGGCGAUUUCUAGUGCGAUUUUCCUCUUCUGAUGAAUGUGAACGACUG